CUCAUCAAAUAAAUAAAAAAAUGAAAAUAAAAAAUAAAACAAAUUAAAUAAAAAAAAUUCAGUAAUUAAAACACCUGUUUUUAAGUGUAAUUUUCAUCCAUUAAACAAUUCAUCAUAUUUAUCAAUUCAUCAUCAUCUCCCAACAUCUUGAUCCAUAAAACACCCGGUGUUCUCACCCAUUAAACAAUUCAUCAUCUUGAUCAAUUCAUCAUCAUCUCCCAACAUCAUCAUCUACAUCAAUUCAUGUCUUCAUCCAUCAUCAUCAACAACCCCUACAAACCCAGACCUGGAACCUUGAAUUCAAACACACGUUUUAAGUGUAAUUUUCCGUCAAAUUUGACUCAUGAACUACCCUGCAACAAAAGAAAUCAAAGGCCAGAAACUCAUCAUUUGACUCAUGAACUACCCUACAACAGACAUGAUCAAAUUCAAGAAAAGUAAACACAUUUCAAACAAAAACCCAAACUUUUUGUGAGUUUGAUCUUUAUGAGAAAGAGAAUAAUAAAGAGAGGAAAAAAGAACCAGGGACAGAUGCAUGAUGAAUCAAAUCGAGACCUGCCUUGGUGCUGGGAAAGAGAAUGGCGGUGGUGCUCGG
RNAcentral lists this long non-coding RNA (595 nucleotides) under Lotus japonicus. Its description in RNAcentral is "long non-coding RNA (LJAP_LNC002171)". Lineage: Eukaryota; Viridiplantae; Streptophyta; Magnoliopsida; Fabales; Fabaceae. The record is from RNAcentral.